RNAcentral lists this ribosomal RNA (513 nucleotides) under uncultured bacterium. Its description in RNAcentral is "partial 16S ribosomal RNA". It matches the Rfam family "Bacterial small subunit ribosomal RNA", at positions 28 to 523 of the family's 1533-position model. The record is from RNAcentral.
GACGAACGCUGGCGGCGUGCCUAAUACAUGCAAGUUGAGCGCUGAAGGUUGGUACUUGUACCGACUGGAUGAGCAGCGAACGGGUGAGUAACGCGUGAGGAAUCUGCCUUUGAGCGGGGGACAACAUUUGGAAACGAAUGCUAAUACCGCAUAACAACUUUAAACACAAGUUUUAAGUUUGAAAGAUGCAAUUGCAUCACUCAAAGAUGAUCCCGGGUUGUAUUAGCUAGUUGGUGAGGUAAAGGCUCACAAAGGCGAUGAGACAUAGCCGACCUGGGAGGGUGCACGGCCAGAUUGGGACUGAGACACGGCCCAAACUCCUACGGGAGGCAGCAGUAGGGAAUCUUCGGCAAUGGAUGAAAGUCGGACCGAGCAACGCCGCGUGAGUGAAGAAGGUUUUCGGAUCGUAAAACUCUGUUGGUAGAGAAGAACGUUGGUGAGAGUGGAAAGCUCAUCAAGUGACGGUAACUACCCAGAAAGGGACGGCUAACUACGUGCCAGCCGCCGCCGUAA